This 253-nucleotide ribosomal RNA is filed under the name uncultured bacterium. Its description in RNAcentral is "partial 16S ribosomal RNA". It matches the Rfam family "Bacterial small subunit ribosomal RNA", at positions 524 to 776 of the family's 1533-position model. The record is from RNAcentral.
UACGUAUGGUGCAAGCGUUAUCCGGAUUUACUGGGUGUAAAGGGAGCGCAGGCGGCGCGGCAAGUCCGAUGUGAAAACCCCCGGCUCAACCGGGGGACUGCAUUGGGAACUACCGGGCUGGAGUGCCGGAGAGGUAGGCGGAAUCCCUGGUGUAGCGGUGAAAUGCGUAGAUAUCAGGAGGAACACCAGUGGCGAAGGCGGCCUACUGGACGGUGGCUGACGCUGAGGCUCGAAAGCGUGGGGAGCAAACAGG